Molecule: transfer RNA, 94 nt
Organism: Ipomoea nil (Japanese morning glory)
Lineage: Eukaryota; Viridiplantae; Streptophyta; Magnoliopsida; Solanales; Convolvulaceae
Rfam family: tRNA
About the family: Transfer RNA (tRNA) molecules are approximately 80 nucleotides in length. Their secondary structure includes four short double-helical elements and three loops (D, anti-codon, and T loops).
Source: Rfam
UCGACCUUAGCUCAGUUGGUAGAGCGGAGGACUGUAGUUUGAUUAAUUUAAAUUGGAAAUCCUUAGGUCGCUGGUUUGAAUCCGGCAGGUCGGA